Molecule: long non-coding RNA, 2679 nt
Organism: Passer domesticus (house sparrow)
Lineage: Eukaryota; Metazoa; Chordata; Aves; Passeriformes; Passeridae
Exons: 4
Source: RefSeq, a predicted model, not a curated record
UUUUAGCCUUUAUAUCUUUGGAGUCUAGCAGGGUUAUUAAUUAAUGAACUUGUGUAUUUUCUGUCUUUAGCUACUGAAGAGUGAGGAACUGUCAAUCAGCAGGGACCCUCCUGAAUUAGGUGAAUGCUAACAUUUGGCAAGUGUCAUCACAGUUGCUUGCCCAUGCCCUUGUAAUGCUCUAAGCCAGUGACCCUUCUCUCUUUGUCACACAUUUCAGGUAGCACUCAGAGCUCAUUGUGUGCAACUGAGGUCAACUGCCAACCAACCAAGUGCUCUGUCCUGCUCACACAAAGCUUUCCCUGAAGGCAAGAGAAAAGAAUAAUAAAAGGGGGAAAUGGCCUGCUGAGCAAAGACUCUGAGUCUUUUAUAACAGGAGGUCGUUUUUGAUUAUAGGAAGGAACCUUCAGUGGCCAUGGAAACCAAAAUGCCACACAAAAGCCAGAGGGUGCUUGGGAGGUAAACAAGAUAGAUGAAAGGUGAUGGUGCUUUUAAUCUCCACAACCAAUGUGUUUAGACACCUAGCAGGAUGAAACAACUGGAAACAAUGGCACUCAGUAAGGAAACCUUUUCCAUCAAGAAGGCUUGGAGCAGUUUUGUGAAAACUGGUUUUGAUUUGGGCAAUCUAUCCAGCAAAACAAUAUUGAAAAAUUUAAAGGCAAACUGGGAGUGGAAAUCCUGGACACAGAAGGUAAAAGUGGAACUACAUGAAUAUUUCAGAGGCAUCUACAACUUGUGCAUUCAGAAUACCUCUACUACUAUCCUGUGCGGAAUAUGCAGCAAGAGAUGACAGUCCACACUUACAUUUCUGAGUGUGCUUUCUGCGAGACAACCUAGAUGGACACUUCUGCUUGUUCUGCCUUGAAAGAGGACGAAAGCCCAAGGAUGUGUCCUGUAGGAACAGGGCAUAACCACAACCAGGGUUGCUCAGCAAAGCCAUUCACCCUGUACUAGGUGAUGACAUGAGGAUGUCAGAUGGUCAAGGUCAGGCAAGCAAACUGUAUAAGGGUCUUAUGUACAGGAGCUUAUUAUUAAAUAUUUCAAGAAGUGAUGGAAUAUGGCAAAGUGCAUUUGCAGUAGCUCAGACUUUGAAUUAACUGUCACAAUUUUAUUCUUUGCAAAUAUGAUGUAGUCCCUUCAUCCUACAAUUUUUUUCUAAAAUUGAAUCCCCUUUCAGUCUGAUCUAGGACUGAAACCACUGGAAAUGCUGCUUUAAAUUAGGGAGUUUGGGUGAAGAAAAGGCCAAUUGCAGUUAUUUAAAAAAUAGUUAUCAAGAUUGAAAUUUGAAAGACAGAGACAUCCAUUGGUUUGCGUAUUGUGUUGCUAUAUGCCUUGCCACUUGCUCAGAACAGUAAGCAAAAGAAAAAGAAAUUGUUCCCAUUGGCUGUGAGAAACACUGCAGAGCUCAGACAGUGUGGUACUGUAUAGAAGCACAAGGCAUGCUGCAUUCCAGCCGAGCUCUCCUGAUUCACUUCUGACUGUGUAAAUACCAGCCUUUCAGACUAGUCUGGUGCCUACUCUGUUCUUCUUCCUACCAAAUUUAAGCCCCCUCUCUUGAUCAGGAAGGAGCAGGGAAAUUCAGAAAGCAAUUUUUAAAAAUUAUCUACCUUGUUCCUCUGGCAGGCUACCUUUCAGGAAAGCUUCUCAUCUGAAUGUUGCCAUACCCCUCCUUCCCUUUCUCUUCCCCCAGAAGACUGUUGCUGUUUUUUGCUAUACGAAGACCAUUUCUUAUUACUCUGUUUCUGUUUUUACUUUUGUGAACUUGUUUUUCUUCUUUUUCUUCCUCCAUUAUUUGUAUUUUUAUUUCCAUUUCCAUUUCUGUGGCCCCAAUUCUUUUAAGCAUUAUUUCCUGCAAAGUCUUGACCAUCAGUAUAUCUGUUUCUUUAGAUGUCCUGAUGCUCCACUCACAAUACCUCUUGCAAUCAACCUCAACAAAAUUCAGUAAAGCAUUGCCAUAAAAAUACAAAGUUCACUCAAGUUUUCUUGUGACCAAUGGAUGAUUAAGAGUCAAAGACCCCAGACAAUCUAAUAUUUUUUCCUCCCCUCUGUGCUUCCACCUGUGAAAAAGCUGUGAACUUCACAGUAUCUGCUCUGGCAUGUCAGCUGCCCUCUCCAUCCAUGUCUUCUCUCUUGCUCACCAGCACAGGCAGAACAAAGGUAUGUGCUAUCAUCUGGGAAGGAGGAAGAGAAAAGAGAUGCUGGGAAAUUCUGAGAUGUUCCCAACAGGCCACACCUCAGGUAGAUCAUGGUGUGAAAUUUGAUGGGAGAGGGGAAGAUGCAUAGCCCAGCCAUUUGUGUUGCUCAAGAGAUAACCGGUUUUCUGUGCCUAAAAAAACUUAAGAGGUUCCCUGCAUGUUGUUCAGGACUUCUUUUAGCCAUUCUGUUACUAGCAUGAACAUUUUAUAGCUUUGAUCUCAAUUUUAAUACACACGUGUAACACAUUGUGGUGACUGUCACCUGAUUUCUAGCCAUUCUGUGUGGAAGGACUAGAAUUUAUUUUACCUGUCCUACUUAAUCAUCUUUGUAGGAGGGGUAAAUACUCAUAGGUCAAGAAAGAACAUGGACUUGAGGAGUGAAGAAAAAUGGCUGGUGAAAACUUAGUUUAAAGUAAUGGGCAUGGUUUUCUCUUUCAAGUUUUAUUAAUGUGAUGGUUUUCAAAUCUGUAACCCUACAUCUGUACAA